This 1502-nucleotide ribosomal RNA is filed under the name uncultured bacterium. Its description in RNAcentral is "bacterial SSU rRNA". It matches the Rfam family "Bacterial small subunit ribosomal RNA". The record is from RNAcentral.
UAGAGUUUGAUCCUGGCUCAGGAUGAACGCUAGCGACAGGCUUAACACAUGCAAGUCGAGGGGCAGCGGGGAGGUAGCAAUACUUCCGCCGGCGACCGGCGCACGGGUGAGUAACGCGUAUGCGACCUGCCCGUUGCAGGGGGAUAAUCGGGAGAAAUCCCGUCUAAUACCGCGUAAUGCCGCGGGGCUGCAUGGCCCUGCGGCCAAAGGGAGCGAUUCCGGCAACGGAUGGGCAUGCGUGACAUUAGCUAGUUGGCGGGGCAACGGCCCACCAAGGCGACGAUGUCUAGGGGUUCUGAGAGGAAGGUCCCCCACACUGGUACUGAGACACGGACCAGACUCCUACGGGAGGCAGCAGUGAGGAAUAUUGGUCAAUGGGCGCGAGCCUGAACCAGCCAAGUCGCGUGAGGGAUGACGGCCCUACGGGUUGUAAACCUCUUUUGUCGGGGAGCAAAUUCCGUUACGUGUAACGGAGUCGAGAGUACCCGAAGAAAAAGCAUCGGCUAACUCCGUGCCAGCAGCCGCGGUAAUACGGAGGAUGCGAGCGUUAUCCGGAUUUAUUGGGUUUAAAGGGUGCGUAGGCGGACUGUCAAGUCAGCGGUAAAAUACGGGGGCUCAACCUCCGCCCGCCGUUGAAACUGACGGUCUUGAGUGGGCGAGAAGUAUGCGGAAUGCGUGGUGUAGCGGUGAAAUGCAUAGAUAUCACGCAGAACUCCGAUUGCGAAGGCAGCAUACCGGCGCCCAACUGACGCUGAAGCACGAAAGCGUGGGUAUCGAACAGGAUUAGAUACCCUGGUAGUCCACGCAGUAAACGAUGAAUACUAGCUGUCCGGGGCGAAUGAGCCCUGGGUGGCACAGCGAAAGCGUUAAGUAUUCCACCUGGGGAGUACGCCGGCAACGGUGAAACUCAAAGGAAUUGACGGGGGCCCGCACAAGCGGAGGAACAUGUGGUUUAAUUCGAUGAUACGCGAGGAACCUUACCCGGGCUCAAACGACACAGGAACGUACCUGAAAGGGUUCGGCUCUACGGAGCCUGUGUCGAGGUGCUGCAUGGUUGUCGUCAGCUCGUGCCGUGAGGUGUCGGCUUAAGUGCCAUAACGAGCGCAACCCCUGUCCACAGUUGCCAGCAGGUAAAGCUGGGGACUCUGUGGAGACUGCCGGCGCAAGCUGCGAGGAAGGCGGGGAUGACGUCAAAUCAGCACGGCCCUUACGUCCGGGGCGACACACGUGUUACAAUGGCAGGUACAGCGGGAUGCCACGGGGCGACCCGGCGCUGAACCCGAAAACCUGUCUCAGUUCGGAUUGGAGUCUGCAACCCGACUCCAUGAAGCUGGAUUCGCUAGUAAUCGCGCAUCAGCCACGGCGCGGUGAAUACGUUCCCGGGCCUUGUACACACCGCCCGUCAAGCCAUGGAAGCCGGGGGUACCUGAAGUGCGUGACCGCGAGGAGCGCCCUAGGGUAAAACUGGUGACUGGGGCUAAGUCGUAACAAGGUAGCCGUAA